This 985-nucleotide ribosomal RNA is filed under the name Nouria polymorphinoides. Its description in RNAcentral is "SSU rRNA". It matches the Rfam family "Eukaryotic small subunit ribosomal RNA", at positions 1160 to 1801 of the family's 1831-position model. The record is from RNAcentral. Lineage: Eukaryota; Foraminifera; Lituolida; Nouriidae.
AAGGGCACCACAAGAACGCGUGGAGCAUGUGGCUUAAUUUGACUCAACGCGGGAAAUCUUACCGGGUCCGGACACACUGAGGAUUGACAGGCAAUAUUGGAAUGUGCUUUGGCAUUCCAUGUUAAAUAUGCUAGUCCUUUCAUGAUUAUGUGAUAGGUGGUGCAUGGCCGUUCUUAGUUCGUGGAGUGAUCUGUCUGCUUAAUUGCGUUUCACUAAGGGCUUAUUAAUUACGUGCGCUGCACUCUCUUUGACCCCUCAUUUAUUUGAGCGCGUGUCUCAGAUGAUUAUGCUCGCACAAUUAAGUCCUGAAAGCAACGAACGUGACCGCAACCUCUUGUUGCCUUUUGCACAAACCUGUGCUUGAAUUUUUUUUCAUGCGCGGAAAAGAGGCUAUAAACUAGAGGGACCGCUGUAAUCUUUUUAAACCAGAGGAAGGUUGCGGCAAUAACAGGUCUGUGAUGCCCUUAGAUGUUCCGGGCUGCACACGUGCUACAAUGAUUAUUGCAGUGAGCAUCUCAUACUAUACACCGCUUGCGCGAAGGCUUCUUGUGUCGCUUUUGCGUGCAAGUUGCUCUUUUUGCGCGCGGUAAAGCCUGCUUCGAAAGUAAGUGGGUAAUCAAUUAGAAGUAAUGAUUUCCUUUUUUCAGCACACAUAUAUACGGCGUUGUUACCCGGAUUAGGCUUGUCCUAUUCUUUGUGUGUAUCAAUGUUUUUCCGUAUGUGCAAUUGUCAAUUCAUGGUGGGGACAGACCAUUGUUAAUUGUUGGUCUCGGUCUUAACUAGGAAUGCCUUGUACGGGUCUUUGGUUCAACAGACCACCCGGAAUACGUCCCUGCCCUUUGUACACACCGCCCGUCGCUCUUACCGAUGGACUUCUCUGUGAGUUUGAGGGACUGGAAUUUUUGCGCGUCUUUUUCGCUGCAAUACCUCUAUGGAAACUUAAACGAACAGUGUGGUCUAAAGGAAAGAGAAGUCGAACAAGGCA